Molecule: ribosomal RNA, 503 nt
Filed under: uncultured bacterium
Lineage: Bacteria
Description: partial 16S ribosomal RNA
Rfam family: Bacterial small subunit ribosomal RNA
Source: RNAcentral
AUUGAACGCUGGCGGCAGGCUUAACACAUGCAAGUCGAGCGGGGUGAUGGUGCUUGCACUAUCACUUAGCGGCGGACGGGUGAGUAAUGCUUAGGAGUCUGCCUAUUAGUGGGGGACAACAUCUCGAAAGGGAUGCUACUACCUCAUACGUCCUACGGGCGAAAGCAGGGGAUCCCUUGUGACCUUGCGCUAACAGAUGAGCCUAGGUCGGAUUAGCUAGUUGGUGGGGUAAAGGCCUACCAAGGCGACGAUCUGUAGCGGGUCUGAGAGGAUGAUCCGCCACACUGGGACUGGGACACGGCCCAGAAUCCUACGGGAGGCAGCAGUGGGGAAUAUUGGACAAUGGGGGGAACCCUGAUCCAGCCAUGCCGGGUGUGUGAAGAAGGCCUUAUGGUUGUAAAGCACUUUAAGCGAGGAGGAGGCUCUUUUGGUUAAUACCCAAGAUGAGUGGACGUUACUCGCAGAAUAAGCACCGGCUAACUCUGUGCCAGCAGCCGCAGUAA